Molecule: non-coding RNA, 651 nt
Organism: Nothobranchius furzeri (turquoise killifish)
Lineage: Eukaryota; Metazoa; Chordata; Actinopteri; Cyprinodontiformes; Nothobranchiidae
Source: RefSeq, a predicted model, not a curated record
GUAGCCUUUGCUCAGUCAGCUCUCGAAGCUUCUCAGCAGACCAAGAAGAAGAGCGAGGGUCGGAGGUGCAUUAACCGUCGGAGGUCGCGCUUCUGUUCUGCAUCUGCACUUGACAGUCACUGGUUCUGCACCACUGAGCUAAAUAUGUGUAAAUGUAGAGCAUCUGCGUUCCUAUGAGCUGUCAGCCACACCGGGAAGCCUGUCUAUGAAUCUGCAGUCAGACUUCAAUGAUCCAACCCCACUCUCUGCACACAAGAUUGAUGGCAUGCUGCUGUUGACCCCCAAGAGGUUCAUACAAGUGAGACCACUGGAAUUACAUGAUGUCCACACAAGGCGUACCACUGUUCUCCAUGCCCUUCCUGUCUAUCUACGUGAGGAAACCUCUGGGUUUUUGAGGACAUGUGUGGUAAGUCCCAGUAUUGUAAAUUUGAACAAAUCAUUCUAUUUAUUUAUGCAUAAAGACAACACAAGGACAACACACAUGAACAUUUUGGAAAAUGUGCCAUUGUUUCAACUACAAACCUUUGGCAAGAUGUUUAAGCCUGCCACACACGAGAGCAAUCAGCUGAGCAAACGGCCUCGAAUGACUGUUUGCUCAGCAGAUUGCUCGCCAUGUGCGCCUGAUUUUCACUGACUUUUCUGCCUCACGAG